Long non-coding RNA from Pygocentrus nattereri (red-bellied piranha), 789 nucleotides. RefSeq lists it as uncharacterized. The transcript has 4 exons. Lineage: Eukaryota; Metazoa; Chordata; Actinopteri; Characiformes; Serrasalmidae. The record is from RefSeq and is a predicted model, not a curated record.
AAGUGUUACCACAUUUUUAAAAAAAAUCAAUGGGAUACUAAACUGCUUGAGAACUUUGAAGGCCUAUGAAACGCUGUGGUUCGGAGGAAAACCCCUGCAGGAGUGACCUCUGUGUGUCCAGGCCGCAGAGCAUGUGCUUCAAAAUACCUCAAGUGUCCUUAUACGCCAGAAAUAUCACCUGCCAAGUGGUGGAGGGGCUGUUCAGGGGGGAUGACUGGGUCACACUUGCAAGCCAAAUAGGGCAAGAACUCCGCGAGCAUGUGGUGUGUAAAAUGAAGCUGCAAGCUGAUCCUCUCCCAGAAUAGACCCAAGAGCGCCUCCUCCGUUUGGCGGUAUAAGAGCGGCGAGUCCGUGGGAACCGUUUGGCUCAAGACACCUUCGCCAGGACAAUAACAUACAGUUUAGGCGCCAGUAUCCUGAGCUGCACUGAUCUUUGCCUCUUGGGCGAUUUAAACGAAGAUGGUCUUUAUCGGUUUGAGCCCAAGAUUUCCCAAAAGGAAUAUACCUCGCCCUCUUUUGUCUUUACACCUGAAGCCACGUAGAGAGAAACACUAUCCUUCAAGGAGUUUCCAUCUAAAUGGUAGCGACCUAAGGGGCCGAAGGUCACCUUUACUUUCCUUCUGAUCAUGUGGGGGACCGUUGUGUCAGGGGGCAACAUAACUGAAUUUGCUGGCCUGUGUCCUUGAGCUCAACACUAGACUCAGUAUUGUGGAAGACUUCACUGACCUCCAUGAGUGACCACUCGCAGAUAGGGCCUGAUGACCUGCAUGUCUAUCCGGUGCUCCUUAU